CUAAGCAUAGUACGAACUGGAGGUGCUAGACAUUAAUUUAAAGCACACUAAGUACAGAUAGAGUGGCAGAUCUGCAGCUUCCCAGAAAUAUCGGACUACUGCUAAAUCGCCUAAUUAAAUCAGCAUGUUAUUUAUUUAACACUAGCAUGGCACGUAAGGCCUUUUGGCCCACAAGCCUGUGUCGGCACCGCUUGGACCAGCAGGUCAAAAGGGGAACGAGGAGCAGUGGAUAAGGUUCAGGCCUGUACGAGCGCCGCCUCCCCAUAUUUUCCUAUCGCCCCUUCAUGCUUCGUGCCGGCACCGUGGGUCCGUGGCCACCAGCGACUUCAGCGUUGGCUCGUCCCCUCGGAAGGGUCGUCGGGGCGCAGUUCUCCCAAGCGGUUGGUGAGGCUAAGGAGCGCCAGGGACUGUGGGCACGUCUCGAAAUCAUGGCGCAGGCAGUAGUAUACCGGCGGAAGGUGUGCCGCGACCGCGAGUUCCACGCUGCCGGAGUCGUGCACGGGCUCGUCGUCGAACUCGCGCUCUGGUCGUAGAUGAGCCAUCCGGCGCUGGGUCCGCCCAGCAGCCACUCCAUAGGCCGAACGGCGGAUUCAGGAGGCAGCGGCACUAGUUGUCGGCGUCCGCGCUGAAGUUGGAGGCAGAGGCCUCAUUCUGCAUUCGGCACUGCGGAAGUUUCCGGCGCGGCAGCGGCCCUGAUACUUGGUCCAGGGGCUCCAGGGUAGUUGCGGCGCUGCACCCAGCGGUUGCUGCGAAGGCGGCGGCGGCCGCCAGGCGGCGCCGGGGUAGCCAAAGGUUUCCGCAGUGGCGGAGGCGGCGGUGGAGGCCGUCGUUUCUGUCCGGACGACCGUGACAGCGAAGGCUUAAUGCCCGGCGACCGUCGGAGUUCCAUCGGCGAGUAGCAGCGAGAGCGAAAUUCCGGCGAGGAAAACGAGAGUGCCGGUGCUCUCUGGCCACAAAGCGAAGGAACAAGCAACAUCCGGCAAGAAAAUCAUCAGUUUCUCACCUUUCUUCUCCGUUCUCUCCUGUAGCCUAUUUGCUCUAGUCAGAACAGUGCUUGAUAACGUGAAGAGAGUAUAGAGAAAUGAAGUGAAAGAGUGAUUUCAUUGAUAAUGACUGUAGGCUUUUAUAUGACCUGAAUAGUCGCAAGUACAUGUCUGUUACAAUAGUCGCGUCAUUUAGAAAAGGCACGACGAUAAUUAGAAAGACACAGCGUAUGGACAAAGCCAAUAUUCUAACUGCUAGAUAGAAUAUUCUAAGGAAUAUGCUAAUUGCCUAAUUACUCUAAAUCUAAAGAUAUUUUAUUUCUAACACUAUUUAUCUAAACAUGCAGGCUAUCCACGUCAUCAAUCAUGCCAUGUCAGUAAAAACUGUUCCAUCGUCUGCCGUGUCAGCAAACGUCGAGUGAAAAGAAAUUAAUGUCGCGUCCGGUUCCAACGCAGUCCAUUCGCUUCCCCUUCCACCGUCCGUAACCGAUGAGUAAAUCGAAUCUAAUGUCGACGCCACCGCAUGCGGUACUGCUCCCCUUUCCCUUCAUCCUCCGCGAAAGUGACCCAGCGAGGCGCCGCAACGUUGCCGAAGUGCCGAGCGAGGGCGACUCCCGGUGAUCCAGGCACGCCAUCCGCUGUGACCCCGGUGAGCCGCCCCGCCAUCCUGGAGACAUCGCACUGACCCCGCUACCCCGCGUCCCCAUUGGCGCCGACACGUGUGACCUUGGCGAGUCAACCCGCAACCCUCGACGCGCGAUGCUGCUCCGGCAACCCUGGCUAACUGCGUGUCCACUCUUCCACCGAUCCCUCUACAUGCUGUUCAGACGGAGGUCACUGCCUUGAGCGCCUUGUGAUCACCGCAGGUCAACUUAUACUCGCACCCCAUUGCAGGUAAAUCGAGACCCGCGGGCUCCGACGGCCCAUGAUCGCGCUCCGGCGUCAACCAGAGAUCCUGGUGAGGCCACACGUGCCACCCUCGGUGUCCUCCCUCAACAACACCUGCACCAAAGAAGAAAGCUCUAUUCCAAUCUCCAGCAACUUCCUCCGUGGCAGCAUGUCUGGUCUCGAGCACUGCGGGCAAGCAUUUGUUAAGGGAGGCACCACGGAUUCAUGCUCAUGUCUCCAAUCCAGUUGGUUUUGAUUGGAAGCACUAGAUGGUAUGUUGCUGCCUAGCAGUAUUAUUCCACUGUGAUGACAUGAGACCGAUCUAAUACGUGACUGGUAUCAAUGUGUGGCUGACAUUGUCGUUCUUCUACUAAAAGGUUCACAGCCGAAGGAUUUUUUUUCAGCUGCUAGGUGCUUCAUGAUUUGCCUCUUCUGUGGAAAUAAGUUUCAUGCGCAUCAAAGCGAGAAGGUAAAUCUAGUUGAAUGCCUGUGUGUUGCCAUGGAAUCACAAACUUGGAGGAAGCGGUGCGUGACGGCGGCGACCUCGUUCCCCGAAGGCGGCGGCGGCUCCUGGAGGAAGCGGUGCGUGACGGCGGCGACCUCGUUCCCCGGAGGCGGCGCUUCUCUCGGGGCUGGGGCAUCUCCUCUCGGCGGCGGCGGUGGCGGCAGUGGCUCCUCUUGGGGCUGGGGCGUCUCCUCACGGCGGCGGCUCCUCUCGGGGCUGGAGGCUAAGAUGAAACAGAUCGAGAUUGAGGGAGCCUCGUUGGCUGUUCGUUUUACGUGCGGGGUGAGAUACAAAAGAAAAACCAGACGAAAAAAUUCUACGAAGGUUAACCUACGAAAAAAAACUGGACGAAAGUGGUGGGACGAAAAUUGACCGGCGGAGACUACCAAUUGCUUCAUUAGAAGUAGAGAUACGUACUAAAAUGGACUGUACUUUUUCCUACUCAUGAACCAUGCCAUUUUGCAGACCUUUGGUUAUUCUAAUCAUGGUCGACAAUCCAAGCUAAUACCUGCUUUGGAGUAUUAACGCCGAAAGGCUUGUGGUUUACCAUGAAAUUUCUUUGUUUUUUAUCCUUAUGCACUUCUAACAGGCAACCAAGUUGUAUUAUAUUGUAUUGUUAUGAGAAAAAUCUUAUCAAACUAUAUGUUUCUUCAUUUCAUGUUAGGGAUGUA
This is a long non-coding RNA of Triticum urartu, 3047 nucleotides long. RefSeq lists it as uncharacterized. The record is from RefSeq and is a predicted model, not a curated record. Lineage: Eukaryota; Viridiplantae; Streptophyta; Magnoliopsida; Poales; Poaceae.